Molecule: small RNA, 286 nt
Filed under: Pontibaca methylaminivorans
Lineage: Bacteria; Pseudomonadati; Pseudomonadota; Alphaproteobacteria; Rhodobacterales; Roseobacteraceae
Description: alpha proteobacterium GRP21 5' ureB small RNA
Rfam family: 5' ureB small RNA
Source: Rfam by way of RNAcentral
CUGCUGAACGCUGUCGAAAUGAGGGUGGAUAUCGAGGAAACCGGGGGUGACGAUCAUGCCUUCGACCGAAAGGAUGUCGGUUGCCGGCGCCACGAUCAGCCCCGGCGUGAUGUCCAUGGUGUCGGGGUUGCCCGCCUUGCCGACGCCGACGAUCUUGCCGUCCUUGAUGCCGAUGUCGCCCUUCACGACGCCGAGGACCGGGUCGAUGAUCACGGCAUUGGUCACCACCAGGUCCAGCGCUCCGUCGCGGGAUUUCCAUUUCGAUGCCUGGCCCAUGCCGUCGCGA